GACGAACGCUGGCGGCGUGCUUAACACAUGCAAGUCGAACGGUGAAGCGCCUUCCUUUUUGGUGGGUGUGGAUGAGUGGCGAACGGGUGAGUAACACGUGAGUAACCUGCCCCCUUCUUCUGGAUAACCGCAUGAAAGUGUGGCUAAUACGGGAUAUUCUGGGUCUGUCGCAUGAUGGGUCUGGGAAAGAUAUUGUUUCGGUGGGGGAUGGGCUCGCGGCCUAUCAGCUUGUUGGUGGGGUGAUGGCCUACCAAGGCGGUGACGGGUAGCCGGCCUGAGAGGGUGGACGGUCACACUGGGACUGAGACACGGCCCAGACUCCUACGGGAGGCAGCAGGGGGGAAUAUGGCACAAUGGGCGCAAGCCUGAUGCAGCGACGUCGCGGGAGGGAUGGAGGCCUUCGGGUUGUGAACCUCUUUCGCCAGUGAAGCAGGCCUGCCUCGUUUGUGGGUGGGUUGACGGUAGCUGGAGAAGAAGCGCCGGCUAACUACGUG
RNAcentral lists this ribosomal RNA (494 nucleotides) under uncultured bacterium. RNAcentral's name for it is "partial 16S ribosomal RNA". It matches the Rfam family "Bacterial small subunit ribosomal RNA", at positions 28 to 507 of the family's 1533-position model. The record is from RNAcentral.